AAUGAACGCUGGCGGCGCGCCUAAUACAUGCAAGUCGAGCGAGAAGACGUAGCAAUACGUUUGUAAAGCGGCGAACGGGUGAGGAAUACAUGGGUAACCUACCCUCGAGUGGGGAAUAACUAGCCGAAAGGUUAGCUAAUACCGCGUACGCUCCUUGGACUUCGGUUCAGGGAGGAAAGCGAUACCGUGGGUAUCGCGCUCUUGGUUGGGCUCAUGUCCUAUCAGCUUGUUGGUGAGGAACGGCUCACCAAGGCUUCGACGGGUAGCUGGUCUGAGAGGACGACCAGCCACACUGGGACUGAGACACGGCCCAGACUCCUACGGGAGGCAGCAGUGGGGAAUAUUGGACAAUGGGCGCAAGCCUGAUCCAGCGAUGCCGCGUGUGUGAAGAAGGCCUGCGGGUUGUAAAGCACUUUCAGUAGGGAAGAAAAGCCGAGUGCUAAUAUCACUCGGUCUUG
RNAcentral lists this ribosomal RNA (458 nucleotides) under uncultured bacterium. RNAcentral's name for it is "bacterial SSU rRNA". It matches the Rfam family "Bacterial small subunit ribosomal RNA", at positions 29 to 472 of the family's 1533-position model. The record is from RNAcentral.